This 343-nucleotide ribosomal RNA is filed under the name uncultured bacterium. RNAcentral describes it as "bacterial SSU rRNA". It matches the Rfam family "Bacterial small subunit ribosomal RNA", at positions 1 to 334 of the family's 1533-position model. The record is from RNAcentral.
CGCGAGUAUUCAGAGUUUGAUCCUGGCUCAGGAUGAACGCUAGCGACAGGCUUAACACAUGCAAGUCGAGGGGCAGCAUAGAAGUAGCAAUACUUUGGUGGCGACCGGCGCACGGGUGAGUAACGCGUAUGCAACCUACCUAUCAGAGGGGAAUAACCCGGCGAAAGUCGGACUAAUACCGCAUAAAACAGGGGCACCGCAUGGUGAUAUUUGUUAAAGAAAUUCGCUGAUAGAUGGGCAUGCGUUCCAUUAGGUAGUUGGUGAGGUAACGGCUCACCAAGCCGACGAUGGAUAGGGGAACUGAGAGGUUGGUCCCCCACACUGGUACUGAGACACGGACCAG